UACGAGGGGGGCAAGUGUUGUUCGGAAUCACUGGGCGUAAAGGGGGCGUAGGCGGGAAGAUAAGUCAGGUGUUUAAUUCUAGGGCCCAACCCUGGGUGUGCACUUGAAACUGUUUUUCUUGAAUAGGACAGAGGUGGAUAGAAUUCCUGGUGUAGCGGUGGAAUGCGUAGAUAUCAGGAAGAAUACCAGAGGCGAAGGCGGUCCACUGGGUCCAUAUUGACGCUGAGGCCCGAAAGUGCGGGGAGCAAACAGG
RNAcentral lists this ribosomal RNA (253 nucleotides) under uncultured bacterium. RNAcentral's name for it is "partial 16S ribosomal RNA". It matches the Rfam family "Bacterial small subunit ribosomal RNA", at positions 524 to 776 of the family's 1533-position model. The record is from RNAcentral.